Molecule: non-coding RNA, 24 nt
Filed under: Arabidopsis thaliana (thale cress)
Lineage: Eukaryota; Viridiplantae; Streptophyta; Magnoliopsida; Brassicales; Brassicaceae
Source: RNAcentral
UAACAUGUCAAUGCAGCUAUAGGG